UGAAGGAAUAGUAACAUGGUGUACAGGA
Molecule: non-coding RNA, 28 nt
Filed under: Homo sapiens (human)
Lineage: Eukaryota; Metazoa; Chordata; Mammalia; Primates; Hominidae
Source: RNAcentral